UAAUGACCAUUUGAAAACUCAACAUUCAACCAUUGGGAUUUAAAGGUUCUGCUAAAAAAAGAGAAACAAUAAUGAAUAAAUAAAAAAAGAAAAGAAAAGGUGAGGACAACGAAGGAAAAUCCAGUCGUCCUCCUCUCUCUAUCUCACUCGCCCUCAAUGAAAACUCCCUCUGCUCUCGCGUCCCCAAACUUCACCGUCAACCUUCGCUCACCCCUCACAACCUCUCACAACCUCUCAUUCGCUCACCUCUCGCAAUCUCUCUUAAAAUCGCCCAUCGUCGCUCACAUCUCACUCAAUCUCUCUGAAACGAAGCAAGAAACCAUGGCUAAAACAAAAAGGGCUCACCUUCGGCGGUGGUGACGGUGAUGAUGAAGCCUAAACUUCACUAUGUCGCCUCUCUAUUCCAGCUUAGGGUUUUGAUUUGGUCCCCCAAAGGUUCAAUGGAGAAAAUUUUCAGAAGUGCUUUUGUGUGCUCAGAAUCAAUUUUAUCAUGUUUUACGCUACAAUCCGGAAACGUGAAGAUUGAAGCAUUGGUUUCGGUUUUCUCACAGCCUUGUUGGUGUACUCGGUUUUGGGUGGCUCGUGAUUUCAGUUUGGAUGUGUGAGGAUGGUGUAACGUUGAUUAGAAGACGUGUUGCCGUAACUUCCGAAUUGAAAAGUGUAUGGUUUGGGUCCAAUACAAGGCACAACUUCCUAGCAGCAAACAUUCCGUUCUAUUCUUCAAGCCUCUUAGUUCUCUCUUUGAAUAACGACUUUCUACUUCUUGUCAUAACCUUCAAAACUAACUCAGCAUCAACCCAUGUAUCCUGGGGUCGAGAAAAACCUUAUGCGCAUACUUCAGGAGCUGAUUCUACGCCAUCUUUCAUAUUCUGAGGGAGACUGCAGAAUAAACAUUCUGAGUAACAGGGGGUGAAUUGAUGGUUCAUGGGGAACAGACAAAACAUCUGCAGUGUUGUGAUUUAGCACCAAACUGAGAAGCCCAUUUAAUGUUGUUAAAUCAAACUUCUCGACAAUUCAGACUUGGUCUGUAGCAUACUUCACAAAUUGUUUAUAUCACUUAUAAACCAAAACGGUGAUGGCUCCGAAUCUGCGGGCUCUAUCUAGUUGGGAAAGAGAUAACUAUUGUUGCCACAGACAUUGAUCAAGAUGGGCAUCAGUAAACUUCUCAAGAGGCUCAAUUUCGUACACCGGAGUCAAGUGGCUAUAAAUCCAUAAACUCUAAUACAACCUUUGGAAGGCACGCUGGGUGAUGAAAUUUGUUUAGAUGCACGACGCCAAGGAUCUUGUGAACCAUUUGUGAAUACUAUUUUGGAACCAGCAACUUUUGGUGCCUCCAUAGUAUAAAUUAGUUGCAUCAACAUCAGGAUAUAUGCCCUUUCCAAAGACAUUUUUGCAAAGGUCCAAAUAGUAUCUCGUGUCAACUUUGUGGGAGCGUAUACUGUCAUUUGAAGGAGCCACCUGAAAGUAUGCAACAACAGCAAUACCCGGAUACCGAAAUUCCAGACCACGCAGAGCAACUGUAUAACCCUCUUUAUAAGCUUUUUCAUACUUUAAGACAUCUUCAGUAGUUAAAUACAGAGGUUCCUUAAGGCAGUCCGGAUGAAAGUCCUGAAGGCACCGCACAUAUCUCUUUGUGUAUCCUAAAUCAUUAACCAAUGGAACUUCCAAGGCUUUUGCCAACUGACGGGCUGAUGCAACAAACAAAUUGCAAUUAUUUUGCAACUCUGGAAUGGAUAGAUUGGGUGCUGCAUUUUGUGUACACGCCUGAUAUUUUUGAGCAACUGCUUCAAGCUGACUAACCUGAGGAAUUAACAAUCUUCUAGGGAUGAGCUCUUCAUGAUGCCGAGCACAAAAUUUCCAAGAACAUCUCUUCAGGUCUGUGUUGUUGCUGAUACAUGUAAUGUGUCGGCCGCCUAGCACACAUCCCAGGUUCAUAUGCUGGUUUCACAGGAGACCUUAUGGGCAUAUUCUGCUGUUGAAACUGUUGCGGUAGCUGGGACCGUUGCUGCUGAGGUAUUGACUUUAAGAGUUACUGCUGCUGAUGUUGCAAAAGUCUCUGCUAUUGCAAAAGAUUCAUCUGUGCAGCAGUAGCCUGAGAGGUGAUACCGUAACCGCAAGCACUUCAUCCUGGGUAACGGCGGCUGAAAAGUGGUUGAGCUUGUUACUGGUUCUUCCAGAAUUCUGGACUGUUGAAGAUUGGUUCAAGGAGUGAGCUUGGUGUGAAAUUCCAACCGGAACGGAAAGAUUGCGGCAUUGUUGGAGGUGGCGGAGAAUGUGUCGACGUACUCCCGCACGGAUUGAACUCCUCGGCAGUGGCUGCAGCAGGAGCCGCGGAUUCCUCAGGUGACCGUUUCGCGAGAUCUCCGGCUCUUAGAGUUGAGCUUGAGCAAAUUCUCUUGACAUCAUACCGACUUAUGUCAAAGUUGGUCACAGCACUUGUUCCUCUAAACUUGAUUGCUGCAAUAUCAUAUGCUUCUGCAGCCUCCUCUUGUGUGCUAAAUGUACCAAGAUACAAGUCUUUGUUUCCCGCAACCCUUCCGAUUCGAGCCUGCCACCUUCCAUGUUGAUGGUGUGAUGUUACAUAACUCUGUUAACUUUUCCAAGUGUAGGAACAAAAGAAUCACUAAUCAUCUUGAAGAAAUUAAGCUUCAUUAUGCUAUCAGCAAAUCCUGCAGAAGAAGCAUUCUUCUUCUUGAAAAUAUGGAAAAAAUGACUCUUUGAUUGUCCAAGCUGCAACAGGCUGGAAGAUCUCAAUUUGUUCAACCUCAUCACUUCAGGAAUUGAUGGAAACACCAGAACUGCAUCAAGUUUGUCCCUUCCUUUCUUAACAGCAGUCUUCACUUUGAGUGUUGACAAAACAUACCAGUUUGAGGUCUGCUGCGAAUUCUGUUGUGGUUGAGUGGUGAUGGAGAGAUUCUGGAUGGGAUUAUCACAAGUAACUUCAGGCUUACAGUUUCCUUCAUUAGAAUCAUCGGUAUUUAAGGAAAUGGAGGCAAAAGGUGGAAGGGUGGCCAAUGAUUCUGGUGUCAAAGGGAGUCCGUGCCUCUCAAUCUCAUUCCUAUAAGAAUAAAAAUCAUUGGAACCCAAAAUUGUAAUGUCAAUACCUUGUAAAAGUAGUUUGUGUAACGAUUCUUUUUUAUUCUGGUCAAACGCUGCAUAAGCAGCAGCCACAGAGUAUUGCACUGCAUAUUCCACAAAAGGGUUCCUUGUUUCACUUGAGGAAACAGUUUGUAUAGUAAGAUUUUUUAGAAUUGGUUGUAACGUGGGAAUUAGUUGUAGGAUAUGGAUGUGAUGCAAUGGUGAUUAAAUGUAAUUGGUCAUGAAAAUGUAUGUAUGAAAAUGAGUUUGGAAAUGUUUGAAAGUUAAAUAUUA
This is a long non-coding RNA of Lathyrus oleraceus (garden pea), 3372 nucleotides long. RefSeq lists it as uncharacterized. Lineage: Eukaryota; Viridiplantae; Streptophyta; Magnoliopsida; Fabales; Fabaceae. The record is from RefSeq and is a predicted model, not a curated record. The transcript is spliced from 7 exons.